Long non-coding RNA from Neltuma alba, 3756 nucleotides. RefSeq lists it as uncharacterized. NCBI's taxonomy places the organism in Eukaryota, Viridiplantae, Streptophyta, Magnoliopsida, Fabales, Fabaceae. The transcript has 3 exons. The record is from RefSeq and is a predicted model, not a curated record.
CCACGUGCGAAUAGGAAAAGACGAGUAAGUAUUAAGAGGAGAAGAGGGCACAGUUAGAACGCGAUUGGAAUGAAGAGAGCGGCAAUGAAAACAAUGGCUCUUGAUAGAAAAAGAUGUUGAGAGAAUCGAAUGAAGCAAGAAAGUGAGAGGGAGGGAAAGAUUCUGAAGGCGUAAUUUUAGCGAACACAAGUGAUAAGAUUCUACUAGGGUUACGGGUUGAGGAAGAUCACAGUGUAAUGGAUUCGAAAGGGAUGGUCAAUGCUGAUACAAAGGGUGAAAAUGGGGAGGAACUGCUACAAGAGAAGCAUGCAAGGUUGGUUAUUAAGUACAGAGAAAUUUAUAUUCUUGAAAAAAGAACUUGGGAACAAACGAAGAUUCAUUUGUGAGGGGGACAUAACAGCAUAGGGGAUAGUAUAGGAGAUACCGGAUGGUGUGGGCAAAAUGAGAGAGGGCAAAAUGACGCGAAUGACAGAGGUGAGGAAUAAGAGGUUAUAGAAGACAUUGAUGUGUUAGAUGAUUUCGAUGAUAAUGAUAGAGAGGGGAAAUUUAGUCCUAAUAUAAAUGAAAUUAGGUACUCUGUUGAUGAUGUUAAUGAACUUGUGGAUAUUGGUGAUAUAAAUGAGGUUAUGUACAAUGUUGGUAAGGUAACUGAACAUGUGGACCCUGUUGAUGAAGUAAAUGAAGUGUACGAGAGUGUUGAUGAUGUAAAUGAGAGUGGGAGGGGUUCUAGUGAGGGCCUAGUUUUUCCAGGUGAGAGUGCAAGAUUUUAAAUCGAGGAUGAGGAGCAGAUUUCAGGAGAUUCUGAUAGUGAAGAUGUAAGUUAUGUGGCAGAAAAUGCAAGCUCUAAUACAGAGGAGAAUGUUGAGUCAGAUUUAGAAGUUGAAGCUAGUGAUGAAAGUGAGGAUGAGGAGGAAGGCCCACAAUAUGAUAUUGGGCCUCUAGAAGAAGUAAGAGAGGGUGUCAAUUAGUGGGCUCAGCUAGCAGGCCCUUCUUCAUGUUGGGCAUGACCUUUGUGGACAAGCAGGACCUUAAGAGGGCUUUGGAUAGACAUGCAAUAACUAAAGGAGUAAACCUGAGAAUGGCUAAGAGUGAUAAAAGAUUGGUAAAGGUAGUGUGCGAAGAGGGAUGUCCUUUUAUGUUGUAUGCUUCACGGGAUGGGCAACAAGUUGGUUUCAUGGUGAAGACCUUGUGUCCAGAGCAUAGAUGUGCUAUGAUGUAUAAAAACCCUAGAGCCUUCGUGCAGUGGUUAGCUGAACAUUUCAAAGAAAAAGCCCAAGAGAGCCCUCAUUUCAAGAUCAAUGAGAUGAAGAAGGAGGUUGAGCAUGAGUUUAAGGUCCAUGUUAGUAUACACAAGUAUAAGAGAGCAAGGAGGAAGAUCAUGGAUGACAUGGCAGGUAGCUUUAAGGAUUAGUUUGCAAAGUUAGAGGCUUACUGCAAUGAAUUGAGAAUCCCAAAUCCAGGAUCAGAUCUAAGUAUGGAGUUGAGUAAUGAGGCACUAAAGCAAGGUAGAAGGGUUUUUAAAAGGAUAUAUCUCUGUUUCAAUGCUUUUAAGGCAGGUGAUCAUCAAAUUUUCACUAUUUUUAAUCUCUAAAUUUAUUUGCUAGCUAUAUUAAUCUGUUAAACUUGUAGGUUGGGUGGAAAGAAGCAUGCAGGCCAUUAACUGGGCUCGAUGGCACUUUUCUUAAAGGUAAAUCAAAGGGAGUGUUACUUACUGCUGUUGAGAUCGAUGCCAAUGAUGCUCUCUAUCUAUUAGCAUUUGCACUAGUUGAAAGGAAAAUGGUCUUUAGUGGGAAUGGUUUCUUGAAUGGUUGCGAAUUUCAUUGGUCUUGAGGUCUGGUUCUACUUUAACCAUUAUGUCAGACAUGCAGAAGGUAACUAUAUUAUUAUUGUUGAUUAUUUAUAAACUUUGACAUCAAUGUAUGACUGAUUAACUUGUGUUGUUAGGGAUUGGACAAUGCUGUCACUAAUGUGCUUCCUAAGGCAGAGCAUAGAUUUUGUGCAAGACAUAUAUAUGCUAAUUGGAGCAAAACUUGGAGGGGCGUUGAGUUAAAGAAAAAGUUUUUUACUUGUGCAUGGAGUUCUUUUGUAGAAGAGUUCAAUGACAACAUGAAAGCUCUUGGUGCACUACACAAACAAGCAGCAGCUGCAACACUAACAUAUAAUCUAACUACUUGGGUAAGAGCAUUCUUUACCCCAAGAUGCAAGUCUUGGAUGGUAGACAAUAAUAUUAGUGAGAGCUUCAACUCCUGGAUUGAUGGGUAUAGAUAUCUUCCAGUGAUUAGGAUGUUUGAUGGCAUUAGGUUGAAGAUGAUGGGGAAAUGGGUUGAGGGUGAAACCAAUAUGAACAACUAGAAUGGUAUUUACAGCUGAAGGUUGGGGUUAUUUGAGGCUAAUAGGUUGUUAUCUGUUCAUUGUAGAGUCUUUUUCAAUGGGGAUGAAGGUUAUGAGGUAAGUGGGGGACAAGAUAAGCAUACUAUGUAUCUUAAUAGGGAGAUGUGCACAUGUAAGGCAUGGGAUUCAACUGGAAUCCCAUGCCAACAUGCAAUUUAUGCAAUGUAUCACUCAAAAAUAGAUCCCUUUUCCCAAAUCUCCCAUUACUACCAUAUAGACACCUAUAUAGCUAGCUAUAGGACAAACUUCUAGCCAGUUAGGGGCAGACAAUUCUGGGAUAUGGACAAAUUCCUCCCAAUGCAGCCACCAUCUAUUUCUGCCUUGCCUGGAAGACCUAGGAAAAAGAGAAAGAGAAUGGAAGAAUCACAGAGGAGGCUCAACAAGGGUAUGUCUACCUAGAAUGCAGAACAAAAUACUCAGCAACAAGCCCCUCAACUUGAGAAGUUGAGCAAACAAGGUCGCAUAGUGAGAUGUAGUUACUGUCGCACACGUGUAAAGAGGCACCUCCUUUAAGUGCUGCCCCUUAACCAAGGAAGAAUAGAAGAAAGCAAAAUGAGCCACAAUCACCCACUCGCUCCCAACCAUCAACACACCCUCAAUCUCUCUUCCAACCAUCAAUAUAGCCUCCAUCUCUCUCCCAACAACCUAAGCCUCAGACAAGAAGUGUGUACAAAUCAAGAGUGGUCACUAGAAUGGGUCUGAGAAUUGAUGAAAAUACAGGGAGAAUUCUUCAAUUUGUGAGUCACCAUUAUUGAUAUCUAAAUUUCUUUAUUCAUGCAGCCUAGAAUGAGUUCAGAAAUUGUGCUUCAUGAGGCAACCCCACAAGAAUAUCUGCAACAUUAUCCUAAACCCCAGACCAAAUUCCUAAUACCAAAUCAGAGGGAAUUGAGAAGGACACGGGGUACUGAGUCAAAUCAACCACAUGGUUGUAGAAGGAUUAAUUUCAACACACAACCAUCUGAACUCCCAUUAGGCCCCCAGGUCUCCAAUGGAGAGGAAACCCAAGUAUUAUAACUUCACAACUCCUUGCACAGAGACAGAGCUUCGUUGGAAAUACAACUAGGAGCAGAUCAAACAACUUUGAUAUAUAGCCUGCUAUGCUGUCAUUAUCUACAUAAUUAAUAGUGACAUAUAGGGUAUAUUUUGAAUGAAGUGUAUGGCAUAAGGGAUCCCUUUCUUUUUGGUGACUUUGACUUUGUCUUGGGAUGUAUACAGAUAUUUGUGGUCUUUUUUGUAUGUCAGAGGCAAUGUGUUGCCAAUGCCACGCUUCAUUUUCCAAUAUUUGGUCUCACUUUGACCUUUAGGAUGACAUUUGUAUGACAAAUGUUUAUGGUCUAUUGUGUAUGUCCAUAUAUUUUUGAUUUA